UGGGGAAUCUUGGACAAUGGGCGCAAGCCUGAUCCAGCCAUGCCGCGUGGAUGAUGAAGGCCUUAGGGUUGUAAAAUCCUUUCGCCGAGGACGAUAAUGACGGUACUCGGAGAAGAAGCUCCGGCUAACUUCGUGCCAGCAGCCGCGGUAAUACGAAGGGGGCUAGCGUUGUUCGGAUUUACUGGGCGUAAAGCGCGUGUAGGCGGGUCGUUAAGUUGGGGGUGAAAUCCCGAGGCUCAACCUCGGAACUGCCUUCAAAACUGGCGACCUGGACCUAAGUAGAGGCAAGUGGAAUUGCGAGUGUAGAGGUGAAAUUCGUAGAUAUUCGCAAGAACACCGGUGGCGAAGGCGGCUCACUGGAUCGGUACUGACGCUGAGGUGCGAAAGCGUGGGGAGCAAACAGGAUUAGAUACCCCCGUAGUCCCUGAGCGGGCUGGCAAGGCGCAU
This 447-nucleotide ribosomal RNA is filed under the name uncultured bacterium. RNAcentral describes it as "bacterial SSU rRNA". It matches the Rfam family "Bacterial small subunit ribosomal RNA", at positions 355 to 825 of the family's 1533-position model. The record is from RNAcentral.